AUGGAGCCGAGCCCAAUCAGUGCCUCGCUGGGCGCCAUGGGCUCGCUCCCACGGAAGCUCGACGAGCUCCUGGCGACCGGGCACUGGGCACUGAAGGGGGCCGUCACGGAUGAGAUCGAGCAGCUGGCAGCCGAUCUCCACACUCUGCACGAGCUCCUUGUGAAGCUCUUGAAUGCUCAGGACCCUCCCCUGGCGGCGAGGUACUGGAUGAAGGAGGUGCGGGAGCUGUCCUACGACAUGGUGGACUGCGCGGAUCAGUUCGUCCGCGCUGACGGCCGCGCCAAGAUCCGCAGAGCUGCUCGCCGGAAGACUAUCACCCGGUUGAAGCUCAGCCGCCUUCCGGAGAGGUGGAGGUGGCGCCGGUGGAUCGCGGACAAGGUCUCAGAAUUUAGGAGUCGAGCGCAGGAGGCGACCCAUCGGUACUGGAGGUAUAAGCUUUAUGAUUGCGCCUCAGAUCCUGGAAACUCUGGUGUGGGCAGCCCUGAGCUUCCGGUUGUUUCGCUGGAUACGGGUGAUCUAGUUGGCAUAGAAGGCCCAGUGGAUGAGCUUCGCCGGUGGUUGAUUGACGGAGAAGAGGAGCUCAAGGUAGUGUCGAUUUUUGGUGUGGGAGGAAUCGGCAAGACCACUCUUGCACAAAAAUUAUGGGGUAUGCUCCGCGGACAGUUCGAGUGCCGGGCAUUUGUGCGGACAGCCCGAAAGCCCGAUAUGAGGGGAAUCAUCAGGAGCAUACUCUCGCAAGUCCGUCAGCACCAGCCGCCGGACCCUGGCGAGAUGCCCCACCUGAUCCGCGAUCUCAGGGAAUAUCUACGUGAUAAGAGGUACUUUAUUAUAAUUGAUGACUUAUGGGCUACAUCAGUAUGGGAUGUUUUAAGUCGUGCUUUCCCAGAGGGUAAUUGUUGCAGCAGAAUAAUAACUACAACAGAAACUAUGGAAGUAGCUAUGGCAUGCUGUGGUUUUUGCCCUAAGCAUAUUUUUAAAAUGGAAUCUCUUAGUGAUGAUGACUCGGAGAAAUUAUUACUCCAAAGUUCUUGCCUCAGGGGUUCAACAAUUUGA
This 1053-nucleotide ribosomal RNA is filed under the name Triticum aestivum (bread wheat). RNAcentral's name for it is "partial small subunit ribosomal RNA". The record is from RNAcentral. Lineage: Eukaryota; Viridiplantae; Streptophyta; Magnoliopsida; Poales; Poaceae.